UCUGGCGGUCUGAAAACGCCAUUAUCCAAGUCCAUUAUUUCAAAAAGGCCUAAAAAUCUUAUCCAACCCUAAUUUCGCACUGAAACUAACGAUGCCACCACUGUGUUAGAGGAAGGUCGAAAAUGACGCUACCAUUGUGAUGUGCUUCGACUACAGCCUCCUUCAUCGAGCUACUGUGGUGAGGUUCUUGUGGUUACGGCAACUUGUACAACCAAGGGUACGGAGACCAAAUUCUACGUAUAUAUAGGGUGAUACUAUAGUUGGUUUCAUUAUAUUUGUCUUGUUUUUCAUUCAGGAAGGGUAUUCUAUGUUCUGUUAUUUGGCCCUUUUGUUUUCCUUUUCAUGUUUAGAACAAAGAUGCUAAAAAGUGCAAUAAAAAGAGUGACUGUACUGUAUGAAAAACUAGAAACAAAAAAUAUUCAACAAUGAAUCUGGGAAUGUGGAGGAGAUGAAAAGACUGAUUUCAUUUUAUAAGGAGUCUUAAAAACAAGAAAAUAUCAUUGAAGUUGUUUGUUUCAUGCCAAUAACUAGUGAAUUAUUGUGUUAGAAGUGAUUAAUAGUUACCUUGUUUUGUGUUGAUUGAUCAGCAUUCUGUCUUCUUAUCUUGGGUGUAUCUUUUUGUCUUGUUGCUGCUGUUUUUGUGAGUGACUUUAAGUAUCAACAAAAAAAAAAAAAGAGAAAUUUGGACUACAUCAAAAUGUUGCCACCUUAUUCUUUGUUCCUAUUUUUUUAAGUUUGACUUAUAGAAUAUGCCCAAAGUUAACAAUAGAUAAGUAGAUUAUUGGAUAAUAUUAUUGGGACAUAAAUACUAUCAGGUAUAUAUCUAACUUCAUUAUAAUUAAUGUUGAAUUGAUCCAACUAUAUCAUUCGAAUGCAUGGCUCCUAUGAAGCUUUUCUAGCAGUUUUAUUAUGUUGUUCUCACUUUCUCUUGUGAUGUGAUGCCAACUUUUUUGUAAGUAUUAAACAAGAUAAGGUUAAAGUGGCAAACCAGCAUAUAUGGCCUUGUGAGUAGUAAUUAUGUAUCUAUAAUUUAUUAUCAAAAGCUUGACAUCUAUUACACUUAAUGAUUUGGUUAUUGUCUAUUUUAGGAGGUUCUUAUGGUUACGGCAACUUGUUUAGCUAAGGGUAUGAAGCGAACACACCAGCACUAAGCACCAGCACUAUACAAGGUUGAGAAAUCAGAACUGAAAUUAGGAUACUCAUUCUCUCCCUUGAACCUUCUUAUAAUUGAAAUAAGAACUUCUAUUAUUUUUUAAUUUUCUUUGCUUAGUUAUGAAUCUAGUUUGCUAUAACAAUUUUUUUAUGGAAUUUUGUUAUGUUCGCUGAAAUAUACAUAUGAUUUAUGUCAGUUAUAAAAUGACUUUGUCUUUGUUAUACAUUGCUAAAAAGGAGGUUUUUGCCUUUAUUGGCUAAUUCUUAUCUUAAUUAUCAAAUGUCUUCUUAUCUUACUUAUCAAAUAUAUUUUUAUAUCUAUUGCAUUUUUGUCCUAGAAAACUUUUGAACAUGAUCUAAACAUAACUUAUCCAUUAGAACUGAGCUUGAUUAUCAAAGUGUGUAGGACUGAAAUCCAAGUUCCAUCCAUUCCCCAUGUGCAAUUAUUUCUUGAGAGAAUUUGGAGUAGGAGUUGUUAGUACAAAUGAUCAAGAUUGUGUGAAAAAUAAAGUAGAAUUGCAGUGAUAUAUUUUUUUCUCUUUUUGAGCUUUAAAAUUGUUAUCUAAUUUUUAGUGACAGUUCCAUAUAUCAAGUUAUUGGUUUGCUUAUUAGAUGUUUCAAUGUUAUGUAACUGUCCUUAUCAAUAACUCUCAUUAUCUGAUAACAUUAAACAACAUCGAUUAAUUCCUUUUAACUGCAAGGUUUGAAGUUCGAACAAUGAUGAGUGAUUUUGAUUUACUGUCACAUGUAGUGUUCAUAACAUGUGUUGCUGAUGAUGUUGAUGUUUAGGUGAAAAUAUCAAUACUUCUUAUCUUGUAGCAUAUUUCUCAUGGAUGAAUUGUCUAUAUUGUUGCAAGUAAUUCAACAUCAAAUGCACUUGUUGUUUGAAAAUCUCCUCUUUGAAGUUGCUACUACAAAGAAGAGGAGGCUUAUUCUCUGGAGCGAGCAACAAGGAAUCAUGAUCUUGCAUGAUAAAGAUUUUAUGUAUUAAGGACCAUAUGUUAAGAUAUGUUAUUGAAAAAUUAUGUUAUCUUUGAUACUUUAUUUUUGGAUUAUGACUUUUGAUUUUCAGUGACCAUGUAUAAAUUAAAAAUCCUGUUAUCAUGUUUGAUUUAUAGCUAUGCCAUUUGGUUA
Non-coding RNA from Arachis ipaensis, 2286 nucleotides. The record is from RefSeq and is a predicted model, not a curated record. Lineage: Eukaryota; Viridiplantae; Streptophyta; Magnoliopsida; Fabales; Fabaceae.